Molecule: long non-coding RNA, 2866 nt
Organism: Ictalurus punctatus (channel catfish)
Lineage: Eukaryota; Metazoa; Chordata; Actinopteri; Siluriformes; Ictaluridae
Source: Ensembl
GGGGGGGUUAUUCCUGUUUACUGCGUCAGUAAUAACCUCAAAUAACCUUUAUAGGCUCCCUGAGGUAAAGCAUACAUGACAACGCUGGAAUUUAGUUCGUUAAAUUUAGGUUAUGUUCAUGUAAAUGAUUCACACAUACAGAUUGGGGAUUUUUAUCUUCUAGUUAUUUUUAAGUUGGCAGAAAACAGGAUGAAACCCGGACUGAGCUUAAAGGCGUUACAGUGACACCUGCGCGCGCGCCUCACGACCUGAGGCGUGAAAAUUCGAGAAAAUGGAGGCGAGCACGUGAAAAAACUCACGUUCACAAUGUCAGCUAUGCGCCAUUUAUACAUCAUAACUGCUAUUCGGUCUUAAUAAUUAUAUAAAUAAAUAUCAUUAGCCUAAAAAAUGUUACGACAGUGUGUAUUCGUCACGUGCUGCUUUUCACUGCUUUCACAAACACUUCUUCGUCUUCCACCAUGACACGGCAGGAGAAAGCUGCUGGGUGAGAUAAUACGAAAUGGCGGAUGCGGAGGAGGAGCUGUUAGUGCGCAUGCGUGAGAAUGGUGCGCAUGCACGGUGCAACAGGAGGCAAGGACGGAGAAACGUGACACUGCGCAGGUGUUGGUGGCCAUUGAGGAGGAAAAAAAAGAAGACAUGGAUGAAACUCCACACAUGGAUCUGGACUGGCACUGAAUUAUGGCUUGCGCGUCUGUGCUAGUCCCAAUGUCUAUGCUGCUCCGUUUUAUAUUUUUUAAACAUCACCUUAAGGUCCUGUUCAGUUUUCUCAGGACUCUAAACGAAAAACAUCUAAUAGAUAGAUAAUUAUAGACCAGAGGACAGAAACACGAGCAAAUAAUGCUGUGCAUAUAAAACUAUGAGUCUGAAAAAUGUGUCUGAAAUCUUUUUGGAACUUAUGCAGAAUUAAUUUCUGGGAAUGCACCAUAAUGAAACCUUCUCUUAUCAACCUGUGUGCUUUGGAUACAAUAGUUUGAUGUAACUUUAUGUUGAUUUUUGUGGCAUAUUAUACUCACAGAAUUUAAUUCCUAGCUCUAGAGUUCAUAAGAGUGUCUGAGCUCUAAAUUUCAUGAAGGCAGCCCAGAAAUGGGAAACUGAGGAAUGCGAGUCAUUUGUGUAGAAGUUUAUACUUGUAAAUAAUGUUUUAUCAUUAGAGGAGAGCUAUAUUAAUGCUCAUUUUAUUCAUAAAUGAGAGGUUUCCUGUGCUUCUAUUGAUGUUUAUGUCAGAUGUGGCUGUUCUGACACAAAUACCAGUAAAGUAAGAAUAAAUAUUCAGAAUUGCAUACUACAGACACAGAGGUAAGCCAGCUUCCCCCUGCUUUGGUGUUUGGUCUUCUGAGAAAUCUCCCUGGUGUCUUAUACUAGCCAAGGCAUGCCAAGUAGAAGUGUCAUGAUUGACACCAAUCAGAUCACAUAUUUCAGUAGGGUGUGAAUAUUUUACAGUUUGGUCCAAAUGGUACUUUUUCUAUAAUUUUACCUUUUAGGGAAGAUAAUUAUGAACAUCAGUGUGUAAUGUACAUACCAUUGUUUGCUUUAUAUUAUCCUGUACUCCAAGUGUUCACAUUAGUCUCCAGUCCUUAAUAUGCUGUUCCUCAGAGUAAAUAGUUGUUCUUGAGUUAAUUUUACCUCUAGGGCCUUGACUGUUCCCAGCUGUCCCUCCUCCCAUCUACUCUAUUAGUCCCUUACCAUACAUGGACUUGGUUGAGGAAAGGAGCGAAGUGCAGAAGGCAGCUUCAGGAAGCAGCAAGCUGCCACUCAAACGGUUCUGUGCAUGAAAAAGAGGAGGAGGAGGAGGAGGAUCCAUGAAACGUCUCUGCUGUGGCCCAAUUACAGCUCCUUGUAGGCAGGAUUUUUUUUUAAAGCACGAAGCUAAAUAUGCCACAGAAAUGUGACACAGGAACUCUAAGUGCUCUGAAACCAAGAUUUCAUCAGUUAUUCUUUCCUGACCUGUAAAGACUUGAGCUUCCAUGGUAGCAUCCACAGUUGUGAGGGAGUUUCCUGGACUUUAUGGGUGUGGAUAUAAAAGUUUAACUAUAACACAUGCACAUGACUGACUCAUUUUCAAAGCAUUCAUCCCAUGUUUGAUAUACUUUUGGCCAGAACGCCUCAAUCUUAAUGCAACAACAAGAUUAAAUUAGAGUUGUCUAGAACAGCGUUUCCCCCCGAGCUGUUUCCUUCAUCAGCCACAGCCCCCUCUUCACUGUAGUACAGAACUUUGAAUAAUUCACAGCCAAUACAACACUGUACUACACUGUGUAUCAAACUGUCUCUAAAAAUACUGCAGUCUAUCAUUUAUUUAUUUUCAGUAUUUGCUUCAUUCUGGUCAGGGAUAUCCAGCAACACUGCGCGUGUGAUGGGACAACAGGUGGGAGAAAGUUGGAUUACCCACACAGACACAGGGAGAACAUAUGAAACUCAUCACAGAUGAUAAAUGAAGGAAAGCAGUGAACAUGAAAACAGGAAGCUCUCCUAGACUCAGACAUCGGAGAACUACUUUCACGGUGUGAUGGAGUCAUCGUGCACAAGGCUACAGUGGAUGUGGGAUGCCUGCAUGGGCUCUAGGGAGCCAGGGCUCCUGAGCAACAGACCUUCAUGAAUAAGCAUGUGACUCCACCCCCUCCCUCACUCUCAAUGGGGCUUUUCAUCGGGCACACAUUGUAUGGAAGCUGGCAGAGAUGAAUGCACGCCUUUUGAAACACGAGGCAACAAACACACACGCGCUCCUUUACACGCUCGAGCCAGAGACGUGUGGUGUGGCUUUGGGUGCAACCCUGCAUUCGCCUCAGUCCAUAAAUACACAAUCCACCUACUCGUGAAUCAGACUGGAAGACGUCUGCCACUGAACGGACUGGUGUUUGGCGCCACCUGG